This 1155-nucleotide ribosomal RNA is filed under the name Candidatus Phytoplasma sacchari. RNAcentral's name for it is "bacterial SSU rRNA". It matches the Rfam family "Bacterial small subunit ribosomal RNA", at positions 152 to 1302 of the family's 1533-position model. The record is from RNAcentral. Lineage: Bacteria; Bacillati; Mycoplasmatota; Mollicutes; Acholeplasmatales; Acholeplasmataceae.
GGAAACAGUUGCUAAGACUGGAUAGGAAAUAAAAAGGCAUCUUUUUAUUUUUAAAAGACCUUUUUCGGAAGGUAUGCUUAAAGAGGGGCUUGCGUCACAUUAGUUAGUUGGCAGGGUAAAGGCCUACCAAGACUAUGAUGUGUAGCUGGACUGAGAGGUUGAACAGCCACAUUGGGACUGAGACACGGCCCAAACUCCUACGGGAGGCAGCAGUAGGGAAUUUUCGGCAAUGGAGGAAACUCUGACCGAGCAACGCCGCGUGAACGAUGAAGUAUUUCGGUAUGUAAAGUUCUUUUAUUGAAGAAAGAAAAAAAUAGUGGAAAAACUAUCUUGACGAUAUUCAAUGAAUAAGCCCCGGCAAACUAUGUGCCAGCAGCCGCGGUAAUACAUAGGGGGCGAGCGUUAUCCGGAAUUAUUGGGCGUAAAGGGUGCGUAGGCGGUUUAAUAAGUCUAUAGUUUAAUUUCAGUGCUUAACACUGUCCUGCUAUAGAAACUAUUAGACUAGAGUGAGAUAGAGGCAAGUGGAAUUCCAUGUGUAGCGGUAAAAUGCGUAAAUAUAUGGAGGAACACCAGAGGCGUAGGCGGCUUGCUGGGUCUUUACUGACGCUGAGGCACGAAAGCGUGGGGAGCAAACAGGAUUAGAUACCCUGGUAGUCCACGCCGUAAACGAUGAGUACUAAGUGUCGGGAUUACUCGGUACUGAAGUUAACACAUUAAGUACUCCGCCUGAGUAGUACGUACGCAAGUAUGAAACUUAAAGGAAUUGACGGGACUCCGCACAAGCGGUGGAUCAUGUUGUUUAAUUCGAAGAUACACGAAAAACCUUACCAGGUCUUGACAUACUCUGCAAAGCUAUAGCAAUAUAGUGGAGGUUAUCAGAGAUACAGGUGGUGCAUGGUUGUCGUCAGCUCGUGUCGUGAGAUGUUAGGUUAAGUCCUAAAACGAGCGCAACCCUUGUCAUUAGUUGCCAGCAUGUCAUGAUGGGCACUUUAAUGAGACUGCCUAAUGAAAAAUUGGAGGAAGGUGAGGAUCACGUCAAAUCAUCAUGCCCCUUAUGAUCUGGGCUACAAACGUGAUACUAAUGGCUGUUACAAAGAGUAGCUGAAACGCAAGUUUAUAGCCAAUCUCAUAAAAGCAGUCUCAGUUCGGAUUGAA